RNAcentral lists this transfer RNA (90 nucleotides) under Candidatus Paracaedibacteraceae bacterium. Its description in RNAcentral is "tRNA-Ser". It matches the Rfam family "tRNA". From Rfam's summary of the family: Transfer RNA (tRNA) molecules are approximately 80 nucleotides in length. Their secondary structure includes four short double-helical elements and three loops (D, anti-codon, and T loops). Lineage: Bacteria; Pseudomonadati; Pseudomonadota; Alphaproteobacteria; Holosporales; Candidatus Paracaedibacteraceae. The record is from RNAcentral.
GGAGAGGUGCCAGAGUGGUUGAAUGGGCCGGUCUCGAAAACCGUUGUGCAUGCAAGUGCACCGAGGGUUCGGAUCCCUCUCUCUCCACCA